GGAAGAGAUUUAAUUGCACUUCAGAAGCUGGGGCCAGAUUUCUUUUAAAACACAAAUAAAGAUGAAAAAUUCCAUUGUGUCCACUUUGUACAGAGCCCAUAAAACAUGGCUGCAACAUUUUAUGUGCAUGUUUUUAUUUGUGUCUUUAGAAACCCCCAUACUGCAAAGGAAUUUUACUUUUUGGAGCCACCAGGAAGCCAGAAGGAGUGCAGAAGAGCUGUCAAAAUAAUCUUGAUUUAAACCCAGAAGAACUGACCUGGAGCAGAUGCUCAGGAGCAGAGGACUUGAGUGAAAAGGAAAUUAAAGAACAAAGCCAAGAGCAAUAAAGGUGAGAGCAGAGAUGAUUUCUGAGGGCUGGGGACAGCUGUCCUCCAUCCCUGUCACAUGAGGUGACAUUCCCUGUGCCAGUGGCACUUGAAAUUCCUGUUUUCCUAACGUUAAGCCUGGAUCCCACCCCAGAAGAUGCUCAGCUGACAUAAACCUAGGAGGCUGAGGUGUAAAAAGGAGUGGAUGCAUCCCAAAAAGCCUGCUCCUGCCAUUUGCUGUGGUUUCUCCAAGCCUGGAUGGUGUAUCCCUCAAGAAAAACCUAGAUAAAAGUCAAUUGCAUAGCCCAGUUUGGGAUGAAGAGGACCAUCCAUAAGGAUGUUGGAAGAGGCACCAGAGAGCCACCAAAAACCUGAGCAAAAAGCACUCAUUCCAAAGUUUUGGAAUGUUUUUCUGAGAUACAGAAAACAAAACUGCCUGGAAAAGCAAGACAAAAGGGGAUUUCCAUGUGUAAUAUCCGUGGAAUCGAAAAUAACUUCUAUUUUAGGCUGUCUGACCUAAAAGCCAUAUCCUUGUGCACAGAUACAUGGAAAGGGCGACCUCUCCAAGGCACCAGCGUUCCCAGAGGUGUCUGGAAAACCACAUCCAAUGAGAAUGUUAUUCCUUCUUGGCCAAUCCCAGCCCCAGACAUUCCAGUUGCCCCCCCAGCCACCACCAGUUGCCCUCUCCAGUGGUGAUGUUCUGAGGCUUUGUGCCCAAAGCUAUAAAAUCCCUUUUCCUUGCCACAUCCUUCACUUUUUUGAUCCAUUUUACUCCUGGAAAGCACAAAAACUGUGAAUAUUUUCCAGGAACAUUGUUUCACUUCCACAUUCAGGCAAUAAAAGAGCCAAUUCCUUCGAUAUAUUUAACAUUUUUAGCCCGAAGCAAUAAACCAUAUUUUUAAUGGAGGAGGUGGAAGCAUGAGGCAGCAAUUCCAGGCUCAAUUUUGACAAAAGGAAUAUAUUCUUGGCUUUAUAACAAAAUUUCUUUCUGUGGUAAAGAAAAACCAACAAAAUCUGGUGUGUUGAGCUACACAUUUAAGUAUAUUUUAUCUGUGUGCAGUUCAGAGCUACAAAAAAUUAGCUUAUCCAGCAUUUUCCUGCUCAGGAGAGGGGCACCCACCCCAGAAGAAAACCUCUGGGAAUGUUUUGCCCACCUCAGGUGGCUCCAGGGCUUCUCGGAGGCUUCUGAGGUGUGAACAUCUGCUCAGAAUGGAAUAUUUCUACUCGAGCUGACACCUUGAAGGGACAGAGCACCUCCUGCUCUUCCUCUCACCUGGGCCAGGGCCUCACAUCACCAGGGUGGAGUUUUGGUCACUUUAAAGGUGUCCAUGUCAUGGCCAUGGCCACUGGUGAGGGUCCCACCAGCAACCCCUCAUGGAGACAAACUCGUGCACCUCCCCAGGAACACCUUGAGGUUGGCAAAACCCCUUAAAAAUUAACCCAAAACCUUCACAAGGCUCAAACCAAGCCCCAGACUGGUGGGUCCCUCACUAGAGGGUGGAGAAGCCAGAUGUUAAUUUAGGGAGCAAAUCCCUGGUAUCAGGACAGGAGGGAGUGACUUCAAAAGAGAGGUUGAGCACGGCCUCCUGCUCUAAAGCAUCCUCAGCAGGUGACUCCUUCAAAAUACUCAUAAAUUUAAUACUCAUAAACAAAAUAAUCAUACACUAAACCCCAAAACCCAGGAAGGGACCAGUGUUCCCCCAGAUGUUCUUUCCUCCGCAGGAUUUCAUAUCCAGCCAGGAAAAGUCAGGAAUAAACCACAGGGAAGACCAAGCUGAGCUCUGAACACCAAAUUUCCUCUUUACAUCACAAAUAACCACCAAAGCCACCUCAUUUUGCCCCUUUUACUAUUCUUCAGCUUCCACAGGGUUAUGGAGUGGAGGUUUUGUGGUGGCAACAGUAACUCUGUUCCCCUUGUGCCCAGGCUUGCAGGAGUUCCUAACAUACUGCGGGAGUGUCCGGUGUCCGGAGCUCCUCCGUGGUGUAACCCAACUCCCUCUUCCUACUCCAAGGUUUUGUGUUGCCUUGGUGCUGCAAACAGCUCGCCUCUCGCUCUGGAUCUGCUUUAAAGGAGACCACAGAGCUCCAAAGCUCCAAGCAGGCUCGGAUUUUAUCUUUUCUCUACAGCUCUGCACAAAACCAGGCCCUGUCCGGGAUGUA
Molecule: long non-coding RNA, 2465 nt
Organism: Passer domesticus (house sparrow)
Lineage: Eukaryota; Metazoa; Chordata; Aves; Passeriformes; Passeridae
Exons: 2
Source: RefSeq, a predicted model, not a curated record